RNAcentral lists this transfer RNA (77 nucleotides) under Clostridium sp. CAG:448. RNAcentral describes it as "transfer RNA-Met(CAT)". It matches the Rfam family "tRNA". Rfam says of the family: Transfer RNA (tRNA) molecules are approximately 80 nucleotides in length. Lineage: Bacteria; Bacillati; Bacillota; Clostridia; Eubacteriales; Clostridiaceae. RNAcentral also lists the same sequence under 1 other name. The record is from RNAcentral.
GGCGGAAUAGCUCAGCUGGCUAGAGCAAUCGGUUCAUACCCGAUAGGUCAUAGGUUCAAAUCCGAUUUCCGCUACCA